UAGGGAAUCUUCCACAAUGGGCGAAAGCCUGAUGGAGCAACGCCGCGUGUGUGAUGAAGGGUUUCGGCUCGUAAAACACUGUUGUAAGAGAAGAAUGACAUUGAGAGUAACUGUUCAAUGCGUGACGGUAUCUUACCAGAAAGGAACGGCUAAAUACGUACCAG
Molecule: ribosomal RNA, 164 nt
Filed under: uncultured bacterium
Lineage: Bacteria
Description: partial 16S rRNA
Rfam family: Bacterial small subunit ribosomal RNA
Source: RNAcentral